CCGAGUUUCCAACUCCCAAACCCCUGUGAUCCAACCUAUACGGAGCCUCGGCGGAUCAGCCCGCGCCCCGUAAAACGGGACGGCCCGCCCGAGGACCCUAAACUCUGUUUUUAGUGGAACUUCUGAGUAAAACAAACAAAUAAAUCAAAACUUUCAACAACGGAUCUCUUGGUUCUGGCAUCGAUGAAGAACGCAGCAAAAUGCGAUAAGUAAUGUGAAUUGCAGAAUUCAGUGAAUCAUCGAAUCUUUGAACGCACAUUGCGCCCGCCAGUAUUCUGGCGGGCAUGCCUGUUCGAGCGUCAUUUCAACCCUCAAGCUCAGCUUGGUGUUGGGACUCGCGGUAACCCGCGUUCCCCAAAUCGAUUGGCGGUCACGUCGAGCUUCCAUAGCGUAGUAAUCAUACACCUCGUUACUGGUAAUCGUCGCGGCCACGCCGUAAAACCCCAACUUCUGAAUGUUGACCUCGGAUCAGGUAGGAAUACCCGCUG
RNAcentral lists this ribosomal RNA (488 nucleotides) under Fusarium chlamydosporum. Its description in RNAcentral is "eukaryotic LSU rRNA". The stretch from base 149 to 302 matches the Rfam family "5.8S ribosomal RNA". Lineage: Eukaryota; Fungi; Ascomycota; Sordariomycetes; Hypocreales; Nectriaceae. The record is from RNAcentral.